UCUCUCCGUCCCCCUGAAUCAUCGACCCAAAAUAUCUGACACUGUCCCUCUUGACGAUGACCUGAGAUCCAAUCAUCACGUCCCUGCCUACUUCGCUCGGCUCGGCGCUAAACUUGCACUCCAGGUAUACUGUCUUAGAUCUGCUAAUUUUGAAACCUUUAGACUCGAGAUUCUAUCUCCAUACCUCUAACCUCUCACUAACACCGACCCUCGUCUCAUCUAUCAAGACUAUGUCAUCAGCAAAUAGCAUACACCAAGG
This 259-nucleotide long non-coding RNA is filed under the name Nicotiana benthamiana. RNAcentral's name for it is "long non-coding RNA (NBEN_LNC022681)". Lineage: Eukaryota; Viridiplantae; Streptophyta; Magnoliopsida; Solanales; Solanaceae. The record is from RNAcentral.